AUGCGUUCACGCCUAGUUAGCUGUAACAGGGGACCCCAAACCUUUUGGGCCGCCGGACCACUACCAACGCUCAGCCCCCCUCGCCGGCUGGCAGCGCUCACGGGACCCCGGCAGUUUAUGGAUGCAGCGCUCCGGCGGCUACCUGGAGGCCGAGGCCACGCAGAGAGGCGCACACACACACCCCCGCACGGCCCGGGAGAGGGCACGCUGCCUCCGGGGCAGCCCCCGUUAGGAAAUCCACGGAAAGGCGCGGAGCGGGCCGGGGAAGCUCGGGGGACCGAGGCCGCACCGAAGCGCGACCCCAAGCAGCGGGGAGCACCACCGCGGGCAGCGGCGGCUCCGCCGAGCCCUUCCCCGGGACCCCGCGAGCAGAGAGCAGCCCCUGCCCGCCGCCGCCACCGCCCGCCCUACCUGACUGAGACCGCCGCGGAACCGCCGCCGCCCCCAGCUGGCGCUGCCCAAGCGGAGGAUGCCGGGACAGCGCUCCCCUGGGGGCCCCGGGGUGUGCCGGGAGCCGCGCGACAUGCUGGGACUCGUAGUCCGCCGCGAGGCCCGCGUCUCCUUGUCUCUCCCCGCCCCUGCGCGUCUCCCGGUUCCAGGCACCGGAGACGCCGGGCGAGGCUGCGGGCAUCGCCUGGCAGCGGCCUCCGUUGUUGUCGCCGCCGCCCUGGCGGAGCGGUGAGGCCAAGGGGCUGCCCGAGGGGCUGCGGCCGGGGCCUGCGCUGCCGACGGCCGGGGGGAGGCGGGCAGAGGGCGGCUGGGGCCGGGGGACCAGCAGGGGGGGCCCUGCUCCUGUCCUCGCUGAGGUGCCUGGGGGCCGUUGCCGUGACCGGGAGUGCCGGGGCGGGCAGUCCGUAUUGCAUUGACUUCCAGGUACAUGACAAGUCACCGUCACCUAUAGCAUCUGGCUGA
RNAcentral lists this long non-coding RNA (912 nucleotides) under Anas platyrhynchos (mallard). Its description in RNAcentral is "lncRNA (ENSAPLG00020000025.1)". Lineage: Eukaryota; Metazoa; Chordata; Aves; Anseriformes; Anatidae. The record is from RNAcentral.